AUUCAAAUAGUUUAAGAAAAAUGUUAGCUUGUGGUGCUUAAGAUGUAAUAAUUAACUUUGAAUU
RNAcentral lists this transfer RNA (64 nucleotides) under Scylla tranquebarica (purple mud crab). Its description in RNAcentral is "tRNA-His". Lineage: Eukaryota; Metazoa; Arthropoda; Malacostraca; Decapoda; Portunidae. The record is from RNAcentral.